Molecule: RNase P RNA, 591 nt
Filed under: Acidobacteriota bacterium
Lineage: Bacteria; Pseudomonadati; Acidobacteriota
Description: Acidobacteria bacterium (activated sludge metagenome) RNase P RNA component class A
Rfam family: Bacterial RNase P class A
About the family: Ribonuclease P (RNase P) is a ubiquitous endoribonuclease, found in archaea, bacteria and eukarya as well as chloroplasts and mitochondria. Its best characterised activity is the generation of mature 5'-ends of tRNAs by cleaving the 5'-leader elements of precursor-tRNAs. Cellular RNase Ps are ribonucleoproteins.
Source: RNAcentral
CGGGUGAGCCGGGUGAUCGCUGGCUUGCCUUGAGCGUGCAGGGAAGGAGGGGCAACCCUUCAGCUCCUUGCGGCGCCUCAGGACAAGCGGGAGGAAAGUCCGGACACCGAGGUUUCCGGCCGCAGGGUCGGGAGCCGAUGGGCAACGCGCCUGAUAACGUCAGGGGAGCUGCGGCGCACGCCAUGCGUGCGGUGCGGUUCACGGAAAGUGCCACAGAAAAUAAACCGCCGGUGGAAUGGAGCUCGGUGGCAUCGCGCAGGGAAACCUGCAAGACGUCUCGAACGCUGAUUCCGCGGUAAGGGUGAAACGGUGGGGUAAGAGCCCACCGCUCGUUUGGCGACAAACGAGGCACGGAAAACCCCGCGUGGUGCAAGGCCAAAUAGGAGGGGAGAGCCGGCCCGGCUCGCUGAGUUAGCGUUUCGGAUUUUCCGGAACGCGCUCCUGUUCAAAUCGGCGCAAGCCGAUCUGAAUUGAGAACCCUCGGGUAGGCUGCUGGAGCCGUGAUGCAAAUCACGGCCUAGAGGAAUGAUCGCCGCGGCGCAAUCGCAAGAUUGCAUCGCACAGAAUCCGGCUUACAGGCUCGCCCGCUAU